UACGUAGGGGGCAAGCGUUGUCCGGAUUUAUUGGGCGUAAAGAGCGUGUAGGCGGUUUGGUAGGUCCGCUGUGAAAACUCGAGGCUCAACCUCGAGACGCCGGUGGAAACCAUCAGGCUAGAGUCCGGAAGAGGAGAGUGGAAUUCCUGGUGUAGCGGUGAAAUGCGCAGAUACCAGGAAGAACACCCGUGGCUAAGGCGGCUCUCUAGUACGGUACUGACGCUGAGACGCGAAAGCGUGGGGAGCGAACAGG
Molecule: ribosomal RNA, 253 nt
Filed under: uncultured bacterium
Lineage: Bacteria
Description: partial 16S ribosomal RNA
Rfam family: Bacterial small subunit ribosomal RNA
Source: RNAcentral